AUGGCAGAAGCUGAAGACAAUGUCACAGCUACCUCCCUUAACUGCUGCUGGCAGCAAAGGACUUACUCUAGAGGUCUCCCCAAAGCAAGCACCUCAGACCCCCCUUAUUCCACUGUAGUUUCCUGGGACACAGGAUCCUGCUGGCAACAUCAAGAAAAUUCUGACAUCCUACUAAAGGCUGUGGGACAUGUUCCUAUUAUGAAAACAAAGAAGCAGGCAGUAGAGUGAACUCGAACCAUCCAAAGACUCCUUGACUUCAUCAAAAAAGUUCCUUAAACUUGCAACCUCAGUUGUUUAUUUAUGUGAGUCAGGCUUUUGCUCUUUCCCUGGACCAGGAAUUUGGAACCUUCUAUGAGUGUUUCAGCAGUGAUGGUAAACUAGUUCUACAUUACUGCAAAUCUCAGGCAUGGGAAUGA
Molecule: long non-coding RNA, 416 nt
Filed under: Homo sapiens (human)
Lineage: Eukaryota; Metazoa; Chordata; Mammalia; Primates; Hominidae
Description: non-protein coding lnc-FARSB-7:1
Source: RNAcentral